This 595-nucleotide small RNA is filed under the name Pongo abelii (Sumatran orangutan). RNAcentral describes it as "retained intron". Lineage: Eukaryota; Metazoa; Chordata; Mammalia; Primates; Hominidae. The record is from RNAcentral.
CAGGCGUUGACUGAAGUCUAUGCCAAGGUAACUGCCUCUGAGCGUGAAGUGUGUCUCCUUUGAGUGGAGUCCGCGGGGCCUUCAUGGAUGAGCUCUCGAUUCAUAAAUCCUGGGGCCUGGACACAGUGCAGGUGCCCAGGUUUGGGGAGAGCGUGCCUCUGAGCCCCAGGUGAGCAGCCUGGCUUUCACUGUGACAUGACCUUGAGCUCUGCAAACCCAUGGCUGUUCUCCCGUUUUCUUAGGCCAAUAGCUUCACCGUCUCCUCUGUGGCCGCCCCUUCCUGGCUUCACCGUUUCAUCAUUGGCAAGAAAGGGCAGAACCUGGCCAAAAUCACUCAGCAGAUGCCAAAGUAAACAGAAUCAAAGACCAGUACAAGGUGUCCGUGCGCAUCCCUCCUGACAGUGAGAAGAGCAAUUUGAUCCGCAUCGAGGGGGACCCACAGGGCGUGCAGCAGGCCAAGCGAGAGCUGCUGGAGCUUGCAUCUCGCAUGGAAAAUGAGCGUACCAAGGAUCUAAUCAUUGAGCAAAGAUUUCAUCGCACAAUCAUUGGGCAGAAGGGUGAACGGAUCCGUGAAAUUCGUGACAAAUUCCCAGAG